UAAAUCCUUCAGUUUCAUUUUUACUGUUAGGCAUUGUGCUAAGACAAUGAAGAAUAUGAAAUGAAGAGCAUUAGGCUUUUCUUAUAGGAUAUGCUGUGCUUUAAAACGUAUUUUAUUGAUCCUAAAAGUACAAUAUCAAUUAUUGACAUUUUUUUUUGUUGAGGAUCAAUCUUGGAUUAAAUGGCAAUGUGAAGAAAAGGUUUUCAUAUGUACUAUGUCUAAAAGCAGAAACAGAUUGCCUUCCUCGCGUGAACAUUAGAAAACCUUUUCUGAUGGUUAAACAUUAUGUCUGAAAUAUAUCUAAGUUGUACCAGCCACCAUAGCGCUUUUUGGUGAACCAAAGAAGUCCUACAGUGAAAUCAAACUUUGAGCAUAGUCUGCAUUAGUUUUAUACAAUAUCCCCCUAACGCCAUUUUUUUUUCCUGAUUUUAGAGUCACAUAUAUUCUGUCUGUCAACUACAAUGCAAAGUACAAGUAACGGAUUCAAGCAAGGAUGUUGGAGUGUGGAAAUAAUUCAUGUGAAUUGCCAAUAGGCUGGUGGGAAUCUGUUUUCUCCACACGAAGGCAAAUCCUGCGGCAUCAGAGCCGGUGAACUUCAUUU
Non-coding RNA from Tinamus guttatus (white-throated tinamou), 601 nucleotides. Lineage: Eukaryota; Metazoa; Chordata; Aves; Tinamiformes; Tinamidae. The record is from RefSeq and is a predicted model, not a curated record.